This 253-nucleotide ribosomal RNA is filed under the name uncultured bacterium. RNAcentral's name for it is "partial 16S ribosomal RNA". It matches the Rfam family "Bacterial small subunit ribosomal RNA", at positions 524 to 776 of the family's 1533-position model. The record is from RNAcentral.
UACGUAGGCAGCAAGCGUUGUUCGGAGUUACUGGGCGUAAAGGGUGCGUAGGCGGCCUUAUAAGUAUGGUGUGAAAUCUCCCGGCUUAACUGGGAGGGUGCGCUAUAGACUGUGGGGCUAGAGUGUGGGAGAGGAAAGUGGAAUUCCUGGUGUAGCGGUGAAAUGCGUAGAUAUCAGGAGGAACACCGGUGGUGUAAACGGCCUUCUGGACCAUAACUGACGCUGAGGCACGAAAGCGUGGGUAGCAAACAGG